GACGAACGCUGGCGGCGUGCCUAAUACAUGCAAGUAGAACGCUGAAGGAGGAGCUUGCUUCUCCGGAUGAGUUGCGAACGGGUGAGUAACGCGUAGGUAACCUGCCUGGUAGCGGGGGAUAACUAUUGGAAACGAUAGCUAAUACCGCAUAAGAGUAGAUGUCGCAUGACAUUUGCUUAAAAGGUGCAACUGCACCACUACCAGAUGGACCUGCGUUGUAUUAGCUAGUUGGUGAGGUAACGGCUCACCAAGGCAACGAUACAUAGCCGACCUGAGAGGGUGAUCGACCAAAAUGGGACUGAGACACGGCCCAGGCUCCUACGGGGAGCAGCAGUAGGGGAUCUUCGGCAAUGGACGGAAGUCUUACCGAACAAAUCCGCGUGAGUGGAGAAGGGUUUCGGAUCGUAAAGCUCUGUUGUAAGGGAAGAACGAGUGUGAGGGUGGAAAGUUCACGCUGUGACGGUAUCUUAACAGAAAGGGACGGCUAACUACGUG
This 495-nucleotide ribosomal RNA is filed under the name uncultured bacterium. Its description in RNAcentral is "partial 16S ribosomal RNA". It matches the Rfam family "Bacterial small subunit ribosomal RNA", at positions 28 to 507 of the family's 1533-position model. The record is from RNAcentral.